Long non-coding RNA from Eriocheir sinensis (Chinese mitten crab), 1306 nucleotides. RefSeq lists it as uncharacterized. The transcript is spliced from 3 exons. Lineage: Eukaryota; Metazoa; Arthropoda; Malacostraca; Decapoda; Varunidae. The record is from RefSeq and is a predicted model, not a curated record.
AUAUUAUCUCUUCCAUUCUUCUUAUCUCUCCCUUUAUUUGCAUUGUGAUCGUCCUUAUUUGUUUCCUUCCUCCCUCCAUUUUCUUUAUCUUCCCUGUGUUAGCUCUCGUAAUCGUCUAUAUUCGUCCUCCUUCCCUCCUUAUCUUUUCAUUUUUCUAGGCCAUUAUCUUCGCUCAUGUCCGUGUCCUGUAAUUACUCGCCCCGUGUUAUCUGUUUUAUCUGUCUGUUCCGCAUCUCGUUAUCACGCUCCUCCGAUCUUUAUCUCUCUGUCGUGGCGAACUUGUUUUUUCUCUCCGCGCGUCAUAAUUAUGUUGUACUCACUCACUUAUCUUCAUCAUCGCUUGGCUAGUCACUCUUGUUGUCUCGUCUUCUUUGCGUUCAGUCACCUUUUCUUUCUUGUAUCCUAAUUUAUCGUAUUUAUUUUUUUCAUUCACAACUUCGUCUUCUCUUUAUUCUCUUAGGUCUCCAUUUCUUCCGAUUAUUGUCUUCUUUUCCUCUUUAUUCUCUUAGGUCUCCAUUUCUUCCGAUUAUUGUCUUCUUUUCCUCUUUAUUCUCUUAUGUCUCCAUUUCUUCCGAUUGUUGUCUUCUUUUCCUCUUUAUUCUCUUAGGUCUCCAUUUCUUACGAUUGUUGUCUUCUUUUCCUCUUUAUUCUCUUAGGUCUCCAUUUCUUCCGAUUAUUGUCUUCUUUUCCUCUUUAUUCUCUUAGGUCUCCAUUUCUUCCGAUUAUUGUCUUCUUUUCCUCUUUAUUCUCUUAGGUCUCCAUUUCUUCCGAUUAUUGUCUUCUUUUCCUCUUUAUUCUCUUAGGUCUCCAUUUCUUCCGAUUAUUGUCUUCUUUUCCUCUUUAUUCUCUUAGGUCUCCAUUUCUUCCGAUUAUUGUCUUCUUUUCCUCUUUAUUCUCUUAGGUCUCCAUUUCUUACGAUUAUUGUCUUCUUUUCCUCUUUAUUCUCUUAGGUCUCCAUUUCUUCCGAUUAUUGUCUUCUUUUCCUCUUUAUUCUCUUAGGUCUCCAUUUCUUCCGAUUAUUGUCUUCUGUUCCUUUAGUCGCCUUCCUUUUCUUCCUUCCAUCUUAGUUUCUUACUCAUUUUUUUCUCCUUCACUCUUUAGUCUUCCUUUUUUUCCUUUCACUUCUCCAUUUUCACCUCGUUAGCUAAGCACACUCCAUUUCACCUCCCUCUUAUUUUCACCUAGCAUCUUCCCUUUCUUUCUUUUAUCCUAAUUCAGCAUUCAUUCUUUUUUCUCUUCCAUUUAUUCGUUUUCCAUUUAUCAUUUUUGUGGGGUUCUUGAAAGGUCUGGACUUCCGAAAAUCCCG